Molecule: ribosomal RNA, 251 nt
Filed under: uncultured bacterium
Lineage: Bacteria
Description: partial 16S ribosomal RNA
Rfam family: Bacterial small subunit ribosomal RNA
Source: RNAcentral
CGUAGGGGGCUAGCGUUGUCCGGAUUUAUUGGGCGUAAAGAGCGUGUAGGCGGCCAGGUAGGUCUGGUGUGAAAACUCGAGGCUUAACCUCGAGAUGUCAUCGGAAACCAUCUGGCUAGAGUCCGGAAGAGGAGAGUGGAAUUCCUGGUGUAGCGGUGAAAUGCGCAGAUAUCAGGAAGAACACCAAUGGCGAAAGCAGCUCUCUGGGACGGUACUGACGCUGAGACGCGAAAGCGUGGGGAGCGAACAGG